UAAUAAUAAUAAUAAUAAAAUUUUACUUAGGCUUAUUGCACUUGUCUUUAAUCCAUUGGAAGCCAGCAGUAGCACUUGAUUUUACCUUUUUAACCCCAGUUGAAGCAACAUAUUUAGUUUUUCCUAAAGUAUCUCCAACUUUACUUGAAAUCUUAGAACUAUUAUUAUUUCCAGUUUUCUUGUCAAAACUUGUGUAACUUGCUGGUUCUGGAUCCCAUUGAUCUGCCCAUGAUGUCUCGUUCGAGUUAUACGCGGUGUAACUGUUCUUUCCAGACAUAUUAAAUCACGACUUCACAAAUAAAAUAAUCGAACUUUGGAUCGAAAUUGAUAUGAAGAGUUUGAAGAAAUAGAAGGAUUGUGAAAUUAUUAUUAUUUUUUUGUAUAGGUUGAAUUGAAUAAAAU
RNAcentral lists this unclassified non-coding RNA (402 nucleotides) under Hevea brasiliensis (rubber tree). The record is from RNAcentral. Lineage: Eukaryota; Viridiplantae; Streptophyta; Magnoliopsida; Malpighiales; Euphorbiaceae.